RNAcentral lists this long non-coding RNA (516 nucleotides) under Phasianus colchicus (ring-necked pheasant). RNAcentral describes it as "lncRNA (ENSPCLG00000006006.1)". Lineage: Eukaryota; Metazoa; Chordata; Aves; Galliformes; Phasianidae. The record is from RNAcentral.
CUUUGCUGAUCUUCUCUGGGUCUGCUUAAGCCUUUUGGCAGGAGGUAACUGGGGCAACAUUGUGCUGCUGAUGCACACGGUGGCAUAAUGGUGGCUGCUGCCCUAUCAGCUCCAGCACUGCUGUUCCAUGGCACUGCUUUCGUGCUGCUGGGCCCCUUUCUGGUGUUGUUGAGCACCUGCUGCAUUAACCAAUGGACUGCCCAGGAAAUAUGUGUAAUUUUGGUCACUUGGCUGCAGGCAGCUGCCACGAGGAAGCACAUGGGUGUGCACGUUCCUUCAGCAGCACUCAGCAGGCAAUGCAGCCAGCUUUCUGGAGAGAUGGGACUGCAGACCACACGUUGGGAACCCAGAGCCUGGAGCAGGUGCUGUGUUGGGGGGAAUGAGUCCAUCAGCAAACAGAGCCGGCUGGGGGGAGCGCGGGGAGGGCUUGGUUCAGUAACCGAGUUGCCUACAUUCAAAGAGCUAACGUACAAGAUAUUACUGCUGAAGGCAUUCUCACUAUUGCCAAGGGCUUAA